Molecule: ribosomal RNA, 750 nt
Filed under: Erysipelatoclostridium sp. MSK.23.68
Lineage: Bacteria; Bacillati; Bacillota; Erysipelotrichia; Erysipelotrichales; Coprobacillaceae
Description: SSU rRNA
Rfam family: Eukaryotic small subunit ribosomal RNA
Source: RNAcentral
UAAGAUCAACAAAGAAGCUAAAGAAGUCGCUUUGGUUAGUGAUAAUAAGUAGGGGGGAGUAUGGUCGCAAGGCUGAAACUUAAAGGAAUUGACGGAAGGGCACCACCAGGAGUGGAGCCUGCGGCUUAAUUUGACUCAACACGGGGAAACUCACCAGGUCCAGACACAAUAAGGAUUGACAGAUUGAGAGCUCUUUCUUGAUUUUGUGGGUGGUGGUGCAUGGCCGUUCUUAGUUGGUGGAGUGAUUUGUCUGCUUAAUUGCGAUAACGAACGAGACCUUAACCUACUAAAUAGUGGUGCUAGCAUUUGCUGGUUAUCCACUUCUUAGAGGGACUAUCGGUUUCAAGCCGAUGGAAGUUUGAGGCAAUAACAGGUCUGUGAUGCCCUUAGACGUUCUGGGCCGCACGCGCGCUACACUGACGGAGCCAGCGAGUCUAACCUUGGCCGAGAGGUCUUGGUAAUCUUGUGAAACUCCGUCGUGCUGGGGAUAGAGCAUUGUAAUUAUUGCUCUUCAACGAGGAAUUCCUAGUAAGCGCAAGUCAUCAGCUUGCGUUGAUUACGUCCCUGCCCUUUGUACACACCGCCCGUCGCUAGUACCGAUUGAAUGGCUUAGUGAGGCCUCAGGAUCUGCUUAGAGAAGGGGGCAACUCCAUCUCAGAGCGGAGAAUUUGGACAAACUUGGUCAUUUAGAGGAACUAAAAGUCGUAACAAGGUUUCCGUAGGUGAACCUGCGGAAGGAUCAUUAAGAAA